ACGUUCGGUGCCGAGGCGACCCACGCUCUUGUCGCUGCGACCGAUGAGGAAGGCACCCCGCGUCUUUAUCUUGCGGAUCUUUCCGCCUCGGGCGUG
Molecule: transfer RNA, 96 nt
Filed under: Sulfitobacter pontiacus
Lineage: Bacteria; Pseudomonadati; Pseudomonadota; Alphaproteobacteria; Rhodobacterales; Roseobacteraceae
Description: tRNA-Arg
Source: RNAcentral